GAUGAACGCUGGCGGCGUGCUUAACACAUGCAAGUCGAACGGUGAAGCAGAGCUUGCUCUGUGGAUCAGUGGCGAACGGGUGAGUAACACGUGAGCAACCUGCCCCUGACUCUGGGAUAAGCGCUGGAAACGGCGUCUAAUACUGGUUAUGAGCUGCGACCGCAUGGUCAGCAGUUGGAAAGAUUUUUCGGUCUGGGAUGGGCUCACGGCCUAUCAGCUUGUUGGUGAGGUAAUGGCUCACCAAGGCGUCGACGGGUAGCCGGCCUGAGAGGGUGACCGGCCACACUGGGACUGAGACACGGCCCAGACUCCUACGGGAGGCAGCAGUGGGGAAUAUUGCACAAUGGGCGAAAGCCUGAUGCAGCAACGCCGCGUGAGGGAUGACGGCCUUCGGGUUGUAAACCUCUUUUAGCAGGGAAGAAGCGAAAGUGACGGUACCUGCAGAAAAAGCGCCGGCUAACUACGUG
Molecule: ribosomal RNA, 467 nt
Filed under: uncultured bacterium
Lineage: Bacteria
Description: partial 16S ribosomal RNA
Rfam family: Bacterial small subunit ribosomal RNA
Source: RNAcentral